Molecule: long non-coding RNA, 2285 nt
Organism: Acinonyx jubatus (cheetah)
Lineage: Eukaryota; Metazoa; Chordata; Mammalia; Carnivora; Felidae
Exons: 3
Source: RefSeq, a predicted model, not a curated record
GUGGCCUGGUGUCCUGGCCAGCCCGUGGCCCCUCUCUUCAGAGCAAAGCAGCUCUGCGGGUCCCGGAACCUGCCCGUGGCUCCUUCCCUCUUGGACACGGCCCUGCCACUCUGGCUGCCUCGGCCCCUCAGGCCUGGCUGGGAUGACACCACCUCCUCCAGGAAGCCCGCGGUUUGCCUCUCCCUCCCACCCGCACUGGCCUCUCUACGCCUGAACAAGCACGCCCACAGCCUCCCCUGUUCCUGGUGCUCAGCACGUGUGCCUCUCGCUGGGCUAUUCUGGGUCCCUCCCCGGUCGGGUGCUACUCCUUCCUGCGUGCAGGGCUCUGAGGCUGCGGCCCCGGCGGCCCCACCCUUCCCUGCAGAAGCCACAUCAAGGCAGGCAGGGGUGUGGCAGCGGUUGGGGCUCUGCGUCCCAGACUUCCCUAGUGCACACCCCAGUGGGCAGUGGUGCUGACACCUGGGGGCUCAGCACCAGGCCCACCCUCCCCCCACCCCCCAGCUCUCAGCACCUUCCGAACCCCGCCUGGAGUACACCCUUCCUGGCUGCACGGACGCCAGGGGCCCGCUGUGGAGUGCUGGCUGGGCCAAGCCGGGGUAGGGGGGUGGGGCAGACUAGACCCCCAGGGGCCUCCUGAACAGAGACCCCAGCCCUGAGGGCCUGCCACCUGGGGGAGGGGAGUGGGGCUGAGGUCCUCCACGUGGCCCCGAGUCCACGUGACACUUGCCUGCCUGAGAGCCUUGCUGUGGCUCGGGAGCCUCGCCGUCAGGAACACACGUGCUCCGUCUGGUCCAGAGACACCCUGCGCGGCUCCCAGGCCGUCACCUCGCUGGGACCGAGUGCCUGCUCCAGUUGCCAGGAUCCUGUCACCUCUCUCUUCCUUCACGUCCCAUCGGUGGUGUAACUGCUCCCACUGGUGGAAACUCUAAGAAAACCUCUCAGGACGGCUUCCUGCACCGGCUGCGCCUUCUGUCCUUCCCGCGAGGGGCGUCCUCGUUGGCCUACGCGUGUUCCUCCCGGACCUCCCACGGCCCCUUGUUUCUGUGGGGUCGGUGCUGAUGCCCCCACUCUCAUGCCUCCUUUUCUAAUUUGAGUCCGUUUUUCUGAGUGCAUCUAGUCAAACGCGCCCCAAGUCUGCUGCUCUUUGAAGGAGCCAACUGUACGUUCCACGUCCCGGUUUUCCCCUAUUUUUCCAUCCUCCGUGUGUACCUCCUCCCUUCUCCUGACCCUGAACCUGGGCUGUCCUUCUCGCUCCUGAAGUCAGGUCCGCUGGCGGACUGGUUCCCCUUUUUCACACGGCGCUUACCGCACAGCACCCCCUCGGCCCUGCUUUCCCCGCACCCCUCACACCCCACUCUGCUGCGUUGUCCUUUUCGCUGGGCUUGAGCUGGUCUCUGACUUCCCUGUGAGCAGCUGUGGGGAGGGGCUCAGGCGCAGGGGAGGGUAGAGGCUUCCGUGAGGAAGGGACACUUGAACCCAGUCUGGGAGACCGAGGAGCCAAGGGCCUGAAGACCACGGAGUGGGCCCCUCCCAGGCCUGUGGGAGGCUGGGGCCAGGGCCCCAGGGGGUGUGUCAGGGGCUGGGUUCCUGGGACAGAUGCUGGGCCGAGUGGGGCGGCUGAGGGUGGUGCCUGGCAGGGGCCGGGGGCAGAAAGGGGAAGGGGCGUUGGACACAGAAGGGCCUUCCCUCAGGUCCCGGUGACAAAAGUUUAUCAAAGGACAAAGGGAGUGAUAUGUCAUGAUUCCCAGGUGGAAAACCUCCCAAGGGGAAAGGGGUCUGGAGGGGCUCGGAGCAGAGGCAGGGGUGCAGGGGUCCCAGGCACAGGAGGGGGCACGAGAGACAUGGGACGCAGUCUGAGGCUCCCUGGCAGGCUCCCCGCUUCAUCUGCCCUUGAAUUUUGGGUCUCCACCCCCCCCCCCCCACCGGCCCCAGGAGGCUGGUGGGGGCAGGCUCCAAGUGCACUGUCCAGGCAGCCCUGACCCUGAGCAAGGCCGGCCCGGUUCCAGCACCAGAGUGGAUCGGGAAUGGCCCAGGAAUCCCUGCAUUUCCUGGGACAUUUCUUGAAGACACCCCCUCACUUGUGUGCCACAGACAGAAGGGCCUCCCUUGGAAGACACGGGCUGGGCUCUGCUGUCGGGGCGGACCGAGGCUUCCAGAAGGAGAUUCCCCACCGAGGCCCCACUGCCCACCAGGAGAACUAUGGUCAGCUCAGCCUGUGCCCCUACAGGUGAUUAAGACUUUCUCUCCAGUAAGGGGGAUGGGAUCUGCCUCAGGGUGGGGGUGAC